Homo sapiens (human) is the source of this 786-nucleotide long non-coding RNA. The record is from Ensembl. NCBI's taxonomy places the organism in Eukaryota, Metazoa, Chordata, Mammalia, Primates, Hominidae.
AUAAAAUGACACCAAGGCAUAUUAUAAUCAAAUUGCUUAAAACCAACGAUAAAGAGAAAAUCUGAAAAGCAGCCAGACAGAAAAAACACAUUAUACAGAGGAAAAGAUUCAUAAACUGAAGACCGAUAGCAAAAUGAUGUUCAGUUAAGCAAAUUCAACAUGUCUGAACCUUCAUAAAUUCGCCCCCAGUGAUGCUGUCCUGCAGUGUGAUCCUGGCCUCGGGAGACGUCUGUCCCCAGCAGAGCUAAUCACCUUUACUCUUUGGGUGAAAUUGAAACUGAUAAUAUUUUGAUGUCAACGCAUCUCAUUCAAGAGCUGAGCUGUGAAAUCCUACGAAGCCAUGGCAGGGCUUUCUGAGGUUAUCCAAUCCUAUCUGGUGACCGAUCCAGGAAAAGAGGAAAUGAAGCUGGCCCUCCUGUGUGGCUUGGGGAGAACCUAGAUAGAGCCUCAGAUCCUGGGCAUCGAUAUUCCACAUGGAUCCUGUUUGUACCUCUUGUAUUCACACCGGGGAAACUGCAAAGGGAAGACUGCUAAGUAAUGUAAGGGGGCCCGUGCCUGCACAAAUUCUUCCUAGCAGGCACACUGGGGGCCUUAGCAGCGUAUGUGUUGUGAGCGAGUAACACUUUGCAUCCGCAACGGACUUCAUGCCUUUCAGACAAUCUGCCAGACCAGUCCUAAUGGCAACCUUUUAAAAAAGGAUGACAAGUCCUUCUAGCAGGCUGUCACAUGUUGCCAGAUUAAAACAUUGUGUAAUUAUUUACAGGAGACGGUGGGGUGUCAGAUCAU